RNAcentral lists this unclassified non-coding RNA (206 nucleotides) under Hevea brasiliensis (rubber tree). The record is from RNAcentral. Lineage: Eukaryota; Viridiplantae; Streptophyta; Magnoliopsida; Malpighiales; Euphorbiaceae.
GAGAGAUCCAUUUCCAGUACCCACUACAAUAUUGUCCAGAUAUUCUGAGUAAUACAUACUAGUGUAUAAAUUACCAUCAGUGUUCAAUAUUCCACCGGACAAUGGAUUAAAAUGUAGCAUAUUAGCCUGUUCCACAUUCAACUUUGAAGCUUUUGGUAAAGAGCUUGUAUGAUGCACAGAACUCGUAGAAAACUCAGCAAACACAG